UGUAAGUUUUACAUAUUUGGUGAUUAACAU
RNAcentral lists this non-coding RNA (30 nucleotides) under Rattus norvegicus (Norway rat). The record is from RNAcentral. Lineage: Eukaryota; Metazoa; Chordata; Mammalia; Rodentia; Muridae.